Molecule: ribosomal RNA, 459 nt
Filed under: uncultured bacterium
Lineage: Bacteria
Description: partial 16S ribosomal RNA
Rfam family: Bacterial small subunit ribosomal RNA
Source: RNAcentral
CUACGGGGUGCAGCAGUAAGGAAUAUUGCGCAAUGGAGGCAACUCUGACGCAGCCAUGCCGCGUGCAGGAAGAAGGCCUUAUGGGUCGUAAACUGCUUUUAUUUAGGAAUAAACCCUCGCUCGUGAGCGAGGCUGAAGGUACUGAAUGAAUAAGCACCGGCUAACUCCGUGCCAGCAGCCGCGGUAAUACGGAGGGUGCAAGCGUUAUCCGGAUUUAUUGGGUUUAAAGGGUGCGCAGGCGGGCUAUUAAGUCAGUGGUGAAAUCCCGGGGCUCAACUCCGGAACUGCCAUUGAUACUGAUAGUCUUGAGUUUGGUUGAAGUGGGCGGAAUGUAGCAUGUAGCGGUGAAAUGCAUAGAUAUGCUACAGAACACCAAUCGCGAAGGCAGCUCACUAAGCCAAAACUGACGCUCAUGCACGAAAGCGUGGGGAUCAAACAGGAUUAGAUACCCGGGUAGUC